CCCAGUACCGUAACUUAUAAUCUCAGAUCAUGGAAGAGCAUUCUCUAAUGAGCUUUCUAAAGCCAAGAGCUCUACCCAGUUGCUGGGUAAAGGGGGGAACAUGGAGAAUUAGAAUGUUUACAUUGUAACUGAUUUAUGUACACUAUAUUUGCAUGUAAGUGUACUAAAAUAUUUUUUAAAAUUACCAGCCAUUAAAAAUGUGUUUGCUAAUGGGGAUAAGAAUGCUGGAUACAAUGAGGUAAGCUUUGUUUAAAAGGAUUUAGGAGACUCACAAUUCAUAAUCAAUAUUUCAACACACUCGUCUGCAUUUUUAGGGCAAUAGAUCUGUAAGUAGAAACAGGCGUAUUUGAAGAAAAACAUUAGUUUCUGAGAUCUGGCCAGCUCCUGUUCUUACCACUCUGUCAUCUCUGAUUGGAUUAGACGUCACAGAAAGGGCCUCAGAUCCUUGUUUCACGUUAAGUUUAACCACUCCAGUUGAAUACCAUCCUUGUGGAGCUCAGUGGAGAGAAAUUAAAUUUCUAUCACCAGAAGUAUGGCACUGAAUCAGGUAUCAAGGGGGCUACAUCAGUAAACUUCGUUGGCUACAAGAUGUAUGUCCUUCCUGAGGCUCUGUAGCUGUUAAGUUGGCUCUUUCCAAUCACAGUCUGAUCUUUCAUUUUCCCGUAAUGCAGUUAGACAACCUAGUUAUUCAGGCAUAGACUUCUCUGUUUUUCAUUAUCCCUGAAUAACAUUUGAUGCUGAAAUAGGGAAGACGGGAAGGACGGGGGAGGGGAGCCAAGCAUUUUUCACAGCUUGUGUGAAAUGCUUAAUAUUUGAACGUCUUUAAAAUAUACUGUACACAUACAUUCCAAUUUUAUAAGACUAACAUAACAUGUUCAAAAGUUUUAUGAAUUUCAGCAUGUAACCAGAGUAAACGUUAGCCUGUUUUAAAUAAGCCAUAAUGGCCUGGCAACAAACCUGCAUAGUUAGCAAAUCCCUCCUCUGUUUAUGGGCAGCCAUUCCUCACCAGGUCACUACAAAAUACAAGUUUUAUCAGUUUCUGUGGACUCCGUCUGGCUCAUACUCCUUUGGGGAGAUCUGGGGGCCUGUCUCCAUCUCCACGGAAACAGAACCUGUAACCUUCCCAGAAUCAGGUUACCCUAGAGGGCAGUGACAUUUAUAUCUGCUUUUUUGUUUGUUCGUUGUUCUCUUUCCUAAGACAUUUUUUUAUUAGCAAACUAGCUACAAAAUGCUGAAAAUCAAGUUAAAGUUAAUACAUAUAAGAUCAUCAUAAAUGAUUGCACAUGUACACAGAUAAUUAUUACUUUCAUUUGUUUUAUUAUUUUAAUCUACAAACUUUGAGCUCUUUAAAAGUGGAGAUUAGAUGUUAUGUCGCCAGACCCUUAACUUCGCACUUGGCAUAAUAUAAAUACUUGAUUAAUAUUUAUUGAAUUAAGAUGAAAAUGAAGAGAAAAUUUAAUUACCCAGUCUACUUUUUUUUUUUCUAUCUCAGUAGUUAAGUGCAGAGAAAAAGGAGGUCAUAUAAAAAUGAUGAAAAAAUAGUACCUUAGAACCAUUUUUAUGGUGUAUCAGUGCAUUUUUUGUGCUAAGUCAGACCUUCUUAGCCCUGAAAGCUGCAGGCCAAGCCUUAAUGGGCCUCUUUUUCCCAGCAACCUGCCGUCCUCAACCCUUUCUCUGGAUCUCACUUUUCCUCAUGGGCCAGCCUGAAUUGAGCCUCAGGAUCGUCCUAGCUCUCAGGAUUCCUCCUGCUCCCAAACAUUCUCAUCUCUUUUCCUGGGAGGACCUUUCAGCCUUCCUAAAUAGCCUAAGGGAAGACGCGUAUCCCUUCAGGGAAGAAGGAAGCACUGGAACCAAUUAACUGAACCCCAGCCCAGGGCUCUUAGAACCCUUUCCCAAGGUGAGACAGCCACGUAGCUGACUCUGCCUGCAGUCCCACCUCUGUCCCACGGGCUCACUUUUCCCAUCACAUUCCCUAGUACACAGGAAAAGUUCCCAUUUUCUUCACCAAGCACUAGAAGAGGUUUCUAAUUAGCUCCCUAAUGGGAUGAUGACAGUCCUGUUCAGCAAAAUUUUAUUGUCAGCCUAUUUGAUUGAUUAUGUGAGUGAUUGAUCCCACCUACUUUGAAAAUGAAUUUGAGGAAACCAACAAAAAACACAGAUACAUUGAGACCCCAAAGCAACUCAUUCUGGGAGAAGGCAAUCAAUAAAUACAAAAGGCAGAAAAACAUUCUCAAAACAUAGUACAAAUUAAAGAAAGUUAUUGAAAAAACACAAAUGCGGUUCUGCUGUGACAAGCAGUCAUAGAAAAGGAACAACUGGAUGAAUGUCAUGGAUUAACAAUGGAAGCAUAUUAUUUAAUCAGGGGCAACUGACUUUUUCCCAUCCAGUGUCCGCUGUUAAGUAUAGCAUUGGUUAUGUCAUCAAUAUCCCUAAACCAAGAGCCUCAUCAUACAGUCCCAUCAAUGUUGUAUAAAAGACCUAGAUUUUCUGUGUAAAGGUAUUGCUUAGAUAUCCUUCAGUAAACCCCCCCAGAAUGUGUCAACCUAGGACAAAGCCGUAGAGAGACGACAAAAAUCAGGUUCCUGCUGUGCCCAAGUUCCC
RNAcentral lists this long non-coding RNA (2601 nucleotides) under Homo sapiens (human). Its description in RNAcentral is "HSALNT0341480". Lineage: Eukaryota; Metazoa; Chordata; Mammalia; Primates; Hominidae. The record is from RNAcentral.